Molecule: ribosomal RNA, 252 nt
Filed under: uncultured bacterium
Lineage: Bacteria
Description: partial 16S ribosomal RNA
Rfam family: Bacterial small subunit ribosomal RNA
Source: RNAcentral
UACGGAGGAUGCGAGCGUUAUCCGGAUUUAUUGGGCUUAAAGGGUGCGUAGGCGGAUCGUUAAGUCAGUGGUCAAAUUGAGAGGCUCAACCCCUUCCCGCCAUUGAAACUGGCGAUCUUGAGUGGAAGAGAAGUAUGCGGAAUGCGUGGUGUAGCGGUGAAAUGCAUAGAUAUCACGCAGAACCCCGAUUGCGAAGGCAGCAUGCCGGCUUCCUACUGACGCUGAAGCACGAAAGCGUGGGGAUCGAACAGG